CAGCCGCCGCGGGAAUACGUAGGUGGCAAGCGUUGUCCGGAAUUAUUGGGCGUAAAGCGCGCGCAGGUGGUUUAAUAAGUCUGAUGUGAAAGCCCACGGCUCAACCGUGGAGGGUCAUUGGAAACUGUUAAACUUGAGUGCAGGAGAGAAAAGUGGAAUUCCUAGUGUAGCGGUGAAAUGCGUAGAGAUUAGGAGGAACACCAGUGGCGAAGGCGGCUUUUUGGCCUGUAACUGACUCUGAGGCGCGAAAGCGUGGGGAGCAAACAGGAUUAGAGACCCCCGUAGUCCCUGUCUCUUAUAC
This 301-nucleotide ribosomal RNA is filed under the name uncultured bacterium. Its description in RNAcentral is "partial 16S ribosomal RNA". It matches the Rfam family "Bacterial small subunit ribosomal RNA", at positions 509 to 807 of the family's 1533-position model. The record is from RNAcentral.